This 253-nucleotide ribosomal RNA is filed under the name uncultured bacterium. RNAcentral's name for it is "partial 16S ribosomal RNA". It matches the Rfam family "Bacterial small subunit ribosomal RNA", at positions 524 to 776 of the family's 1533-position model. The record is from RNAcentral.
UACGUAGGGGGCAAGCGUUGUCCGGGAUUAUUGGGCGUAAAGGGCUCGUAGGCGGUUUCUUAAGUCUGAUGUGAAAGCCCACGGCUCAACCGUGGAGGGUCAUUGGAAACUGGGGGACUUGAGUGCAGAAGAGGAAAGCGGAAUUCCACGUGUAGCGGUGAAAUGCGUAGAGAUGUGGAGGAACACCAGUGGCGAAGGCGGCUUUCUGGUCUGUAACUGACGCUGAGGCGCGAAAGCGUGGGGAGCAAACAGG